ACUUAUCCAACAAGUCUAGAGUCUCAAUCAGAGUUUAUAAUCAAUUAUGAAUUAGUUACGAAUGAAAUAGAGUCUAAUAAGAGAUUUCUCAAAACUCAAAUCCUUAUCGUGAUUCUCGCUACUUCUAUCCACUAUACAGUGCAGUACAAGACUUGAGUAGCAUGCAAAAUUUUAUCUAAAUACUUAAACUUAAUGGACAUUCAAUAACUCUAAGAAAACUCAACAAAAUCACUGCAAAACUUACCAAAUACUUAAGAAAGUAACCUUAACUUCAAAGGACGAUCCUCUAACAACCUUCAACCAUCAAAUCCUAGCAUCCAAAAAUGAUGGGUUGUUCAAUAAUAGUGCUGAAACUCAAUGGGUAUUCAAAUUAAAAAAGUUUAGAUUCUUAAUUAAUCUAUGCCAAAAUGCCAAUUUCGAGCUUCCAACUGACUAAACAACAACUCUUUCGAAAAUUCAAAUCUAACAUUAAAUUUAAUGAGUAUUGUUAAUCUCAAGUCUAAACUUAAUGGGUAUUUGAAACUCUUCCAGAAAUCUAACUAAAAUGUACAAAUCUUACCCCGAACUCCAAGAUCCAACAAUCGACAACAAGAUCGAGGGAGGGGAAACAAUCCAUUUGAGAUUUAUUCAAAACCCACACACUAGUGGCAUGAGCUUUACUGGAGAAAUUGAGGGACGACAUAGCUCAAACAAAACCAAACAAAGACGACAUUGCAUUUCCAAAUUUGGCGUGGAUGACAUGUGGUGUGGUGGCUGAUCAUCGUUCACUGAAUCAAACGACACGACUAUGGUGCUAGAUGGUGGCAUUUGGGAGUAUCAACAGUAGGGGUUCUUUGUUGGCGUUGGCACGAAGGAGAGAAAAAGAGGUGUAAACAUGUCAUCGUCGAUAAGGUCUCGUUGUCGGUAUGCAUGGAAGGUGGAAGUUGCUAGCGGCGAUGGGGCAAACGGACGAAAGAGUGAGAUGGGAGUGUGUCGACGUGCGAGAAAGAGUGAGAGAUGAUCAGUGGAAAAGAAUUCGAGAAGAGGGAGGCUGUUGGC
Molecule: long non-coding RNA, 1038 nt
Filed under: Cucumis sativus (cucumber)
Lineage: Eukaryota; Viridiplantae; Streptophyta; Magnoliopsida; Cucurbitales; Cucurbitaceae
Description: long non-coding RNA (CSAT_LNC000129)
Source: RNAcentral